Micropterus salmoides (largemouth bass) is the source of this 829-nucleotide long non-coding RNA. RefSeq lists it as uncharacterized. NCBI's taxonomy places the organism in Eukaryota, Metazoa, Chordata, Actinopteri, Centrarchiformes, Centrarchidae. The record is from RefSeq and is a predicted model, not a curated record. The transcript is spliced from 3 exons.
GACAAGCAGACAUGGGGCAGAGUGAAUAACCAAGAAUGCGACAGAGCUAAACAGAACCAGUAAAAGAACAAGGGAAUACACAAGACUAAACAGGGAACACAAGACCAGGAGUAAACACAAAAGAUAUUAACUAACGUACAGGACUAGGAACUAACUGAAACACAGAACCUAAAACAGACUUCAACAGGAAAGACAUGAACACAAAAACCACACUCCUAACAAAAUCAAUGCAAAGAGAUGGAGGAUGUUCAGUUGUACCUGUUAUCUCCUCUCCACUAAGUCUGAAACUUGGGGAAAAGGCAGAGAAGACUGCAAAGGCCGUGGAGCAGAUCUGGUGGUGAUAGACAGUUAUGAAGAACAGGUACUGGUCCCCACGCCAGACUGAUAAUGGUGAUGGAGAUCCUCAGUGGGGUGAAGAGGACUGUGCACAUAUCCGGGCUGACACAAAAACUGGAGGAAACUGGAAUGAUCGGCGGUGUGAUGACUCUCUGAAAUGGAUCUGUGAAAAAAUAGCUUAGAAUUUAAUGAGUUUUGAUAUGAUAUGAUUUCACAAUUAUACAAAAGACCUUUCGUAAUAUAAUUGUUUGGAUUUCACGCCAGGAAUUGCGAUCUCAGCAUGAUUUGUUGCCUAAAUGUACUAUACCUUUUACUGAGGAAAUGAAGCUGUCUUGUCCUGAUGACUACCAUAUUUAGUGAAACAAAUCUCCCUAAAAUUUACCAGAGCAGUUGUAGCUAACAUCCUACUGAAUAUGUACUAUACCACAGUUUGACCCUGAAAUGUAGGCCUACUUAGUAGGAUAAUAAAUCUGACUUGAGCUGUUUCCUCCAA